GACGAACGCUGGCGGCGUGCUUAACACAUGCAAGUCGAACGGAAAGGCCCUGCUUGCAGGGUACUCGAGUGGCGAACGGGUGAGUAACACGUGGGUGAUCUGCCCUGCACUUCGGGAUAAGCCUGGGAAACUGGGUCUAAUACCGGAUAGGAGCCAUUUUUAGUGUGAUGGUUGGAAAGUUUUUUCGGUGUAGGAUGAGCUCGCGGCCUAUCAGCUUGUUGGUGGGGUAAUGGCCUACCAAGGCGGCGACGGGUAGCCGGCCUGAGAGGGUGGACGGCCACAUUGGGACUGAGAUACGGCCCAGACUCCUACGGGAGGCAGCAGUGGGGAAUAUUGCACGAUGGGCGCAAGCCUGAUGCAGCGACGCCGCGUGGGGGAGGACGGCCUUCGGGUUGGAAACUCCUUUCGCUAGGGACGAAGCUUUUUGUGACGGUACCUAGAUAAGAAGCACCGGCUAACUACGUG
Molecule: ribosomal RNA, 465 nt
Filed under: uncultured bacterium
Lineage: Bacteria
Description: partial 16S ribosomal RNA
Rfam family: Bacterial small subunit ribosomal RNA
Source: RNAcentral